UUGGAGGGCAAGUCUGGUGCCAGCAGCCGCGGUAAUUCCAGCUCCAAUAGCGUAUAUUAAAGUUGUUGCAGUUAAAAAGCUCGUAGUUGAAUUUCGAGACCGGUUUAUUGGUCGUGCUUUUGUACGUACUGGUAUUAUUGGUUUCUCCUUUCUGACGAAUCUUAAUGCCAUUAGUUUGGUGUUUUGGGGAAUCAGGACUGUUACUUUGAAAAAAUUAGAGUGUUUAAAGCAGGCUCACGCUUGAAUACAUUAGCAUGGAAUAACGGAAUAGGACGUUUGAUUCUAUUUUGUUGGUUUCUAGGAUCGACGUAAUGAUUAAUAGGGAUAGUUGGGGGCAUUAGUAUUCAAUUGUCAGAGGUGAAAUUCUUGGAUUUAUUGAAGACUAACUACUGCGAAAGCAUUUGCCAAGGAUGUUUUCAUUAAUCAAGAACGAAAGUUAGGGGAUCGAAGACGAUCAGAUACCGUCGUAGUCUUAACCAUAAACUAUGCCGACUAGGGAUCGGAUGAUGUUAAUUUUUUAAUGACUCAUUCGGCGCCUUACGGGAAAC
This 548-nucleotide ribosomal RNA is filed under the name uncultured Glomus. Its description in RNAcentral is "SSU rRNA". It matches the Rfam family "Eukaryotic small subunit ribosomal RNA", at positions 548 to 1098 of the family's 1831-position model. The record is from RNAcentral. Lineage: Eukaryota; Fungi; Glomeromycota; Glomeromycetes; Glomerales; Glomeraceae.